This is a non-coding RNA of Vicugna pacos (alpaca), 2293 nucleotides long. The record is from RefSeq and is a predicted model, not a curated record. Lineage: Eukaryota; Metazoa; Chordata; Mammalia; Artiodactyla; Camelidae.
UUUUAAUUUUGAUGAAGUUCUAGUUUAUCUGUUUUUUUUCCUCUUGUUCAUGUUUUUGGUGUCAUUUCUAAGAAUGUAUUACCAAAUUUAAGGUCAUGAAAAUUUACUGUAUUUUCUACUAAGAGUUUUAUGGAUGUAUCAUUUAUACUUAAGUCUUUGAUCCAUUUUGAGUUAAUUUUUGUAUGUGAUAUGAAAUUAAGGGUCCAACUUAAUGCUUUGCAUGUGGAAGUUAAGUUGUCCCAGCAUCAUUUAUUGCAGAGACUGUCCUUUCCCCACUGAAUGGAUUUGGCGCUCCUGUCAAAGAUCAGUUCUAUCCCAUUGGUCUAUAUAGCUAUCCCUAUAGCAGUACCACACUGCUUUGAUUAUUGUAGCUUUAUUUUAAGUUUUGAAAUCAAGAAGUGUAAGUUCUUCAACUUUGUUCUCAUUUUCAAGAUUUUUUUUUCUCUUUGGACUCCCUUGUAAUUCCAUAUGAAUCUGAGGAUGGGCUUUUCCAUUUCUGCAAAGAAGGCUGUUGAAAUUUUGAUCAAGAUUGCAUUGAAGUUUUAGAUUACUUUGGAUAAUAUUGACAUCUUAACAAUAUUAAGACUUCCUAUCCAUGAAUAUGAGACGUCUUUCCAUUUAUUUAGGUCUCCUUUAAUUUCUCUUAGCAGUAUUUUAUAAUUUUAAAUGGACAAAUUUUUCACCUCCUUGGUUAAAUAAUAUCCUAGGUAUUUUCCUAACAUCUUUAAGAUGCUAUUUUAAAUGGAAUUGCUUUCUUAAUUUCCUUUUUGGUUUGUUCAUUGUUAGUGUGUAGAAACACAACUGAUUUUUUUUUGUUGACUUUAUACCCUGCAACUUUGCUCAAUUUGUUUAUUAGCUCUAGUAGCUUUCUUGUGGAUUCUUUGGUAUUUUCUGUAUGUAGGAUCAUGUCAUCUGCAAAUAGAGAAAGUCUUCCCAAUUUAGAUGCUUUUCUUUAUUUUUUUUUUCUUAUCUAAUUGCUUUGGUUAGAACUUCCAGCUCAUUGUUGAUUAGCAGUGGUGAAAGUGGGCAGCUUUGUCAUGUGUUUAUCUGAAUUUUAAAUUUUAUUACAUAUUCUUUAGAUUUCAUUUAAAUUUAAUCACAUGUGAUUACUGGUAUGGUAUUAGACCAUGCAGUUUUAAUCUCUGCAACCUUCUUAUUCUACCUUUGUCUUAUUUUUUUGUGAUUAGUCUUCCUGAGGGAAUCUUUUGUUAACCAGUUGUUAACAAUCCCUGGAGUUCCCCUGGAGAUACACUCUUUUGUCUUAAAGCCAAUUAUAUUUAUUAAAGUUAGAAAUUAUUCUUGUUUGCAACUUUGCAAAAACCUUCCACAUAGCUCAAAAAUAGUCCUUUUUUUUUUUAAAGUAGACCCCUUCCUUAUAAGUCUGGUUGACAGGGUGUGUGUAUCAAGUGGACACACCAGAAGAGAGCUUUACAUUCGAAGAGAGUGAGGAUACAGAAUGUCUCUUCAGCUACUUGAAGCUCCUUCUGGCCUUAACUGCCUGGACAAAUUGUAGUGGCCUUACAGUAGCUGGCAUUAUUGGAAGACUGACCUGUAUUUCAAUGGAUUUGCCAGCUCUUGGAGAACCUAUGGUGAUUUCUUCUGAGGUUUGCAUGCUUUGACUUCCUUCAUGCAAGUGCUUUUAACUACUGAGUAGAUUUUUAUUUUGCAUUGUGUGUUUACUAAUCUCCUAAGUAUUGGCUGUCAUGCUGUACCAACUCUCUUUAUCUAUAGCCCUUACACACUUAUUGCACUAUUUUGUACACUCUUUAUGGCGUAAAUACUUCAAAUGGAGUGUUUGCAUAUGAAAUGAAACAGCUUUUCUUGACUUCUCUUUUUGUAUGUAGACUUUCCAAUAUAGUCAUUCUAGAUUUUUGAGGGGCAAGGUGGAGGGGUGGAGCUGAGUUGAAAAGCAUAUUACAGGAAGUCUUUUCAAAUUAAUCAACAUUUAUUGAGCUACUCAGUGGAAGGUACUGGAGAUAAGGUGGUACCUGUCCUCCAAACCAGAAUGAUCAUACUCAGUGGAAAGUGUUUUAGGAGUUACUUAAACAAGUGUCUACUCUCUGAUCAUAAAACAAGAUGGAGUGAUAAAAAUACUAUAAUAGAGGUGUAAAUAGAUUAUUGAGAAGAAGCAGAGAAAAUUCAAACUCAAGAUAUCCAGGAAGACUUCAUGAGAGAGUUCUUGUUUGAACAGAACAUUGAGGAAUAAAGAAGAAGAGAAAAGAUUUGGUAGGAGGGGAGGAUGGAGGGUAUUCCUGUUUGUUACUUGAAUAAGUAAGAAGUUGGAAGCUUAAAA